This 21-nucleotide non-coding RNA is filed under the name Caenorhabditis elegans. The record is from RNAcentral. Lineage: Eukaryota; Metazoa; Nematoda; Chromadorea; Rhabditida; Rhabditidae.
UCGGAUAAUUGCGAUUAAAUU